RNAcentral lists this ribosomal RNA (499 nucleotides) under uncultured Chloroflexota bacterium. Its description in RNAcentral is "bacterial SSU rRNA". It matches the Rfam family "Bacterial small subunit ribosomal RNA", at positions 355 to 871 of the family's 1533-position model. Lineage: Bacteria; Bacillati; Chloroflexota. The record is from RNAcentral.
UAGGGAAUAUUGCACAAUGGGCGAAAGCCUGAUGCAGCAACGCCGCGUGCGCGAUGAAGGCCUUCGGUUGUAAGCGCUUUCUGGAGGAUGAGAAGGACAGUACUCCAGGAAUAAGGAUCGGCUAACUACGUGCCAGCAGCCGCGGUAACACGUAGGAUCCGAGCGUUAUCCGAAUUUACUGGGCGUAAAGCGCGUGCAGGCGGUUUGGUAAGUUGGAUGUGAAAGCUCCUGGCUCAACUGGGAGAGGCCGUUCAAAACUACCAGACUUGAGGACGGUAGAGGGAGGUGGAAUUCCCGGUGUAGUAGUGAAAUGCGUAGAUAUCGGGAGGAACACCAGUGGGCGAAGGGCGGCCUCCUGGACCGGUUCCUGACGCUCAGACGCGAAAGCUAAGGGAGCGAACGGGAUUAGAAACCCCGGUAGUCUUAGCCGGUAAACGAUGUGAACUUGAUGUCGGUGGGGUAAAUCCAUCGGUGUCGAAGCUACGCGAUAAGUUCACCG